UACGGGUAGCCGGCCUGAGAGGGCGACCGGCCACACUGGGACUGAGACACGGCCCAGACUCCUGCGGGAGGCAGCAGUGGGGAAUAUUGCGCAAUGGGCGAAAGCCUGACGCAGCGACGCCGCGUGGGGGAUGACGGCCUUCGGGUUGUAAACCUCUUUUACCACCAACGCAGGCUUCCAGUUCUCUGGAGGUUGACGGUAGGUGGGGAAUAAGGACCGGCUAACUACGUGCCAGCAGCCGCGGUAAUACGUAGGGUCCGAGCGUUGUCCGGAAUUAUUGGGCGUAAAGAGCUCGUAGGCGGCGUGUCGCGUCUGCUGUGAAAGACCGGGGCUUAACUCCGGUUCUGCAGUGGAUACGGGCAUGCUAGAGGUAGGUAGGGGAGACUGGAAUUCCUGGUGUAGCGGUGAAAUGCGCAGAUAUCAGGAGGAACACCGGUGGCGAAGGCGGGUCUCUGGGCCUUACCUGACGCUGAGGAGCGAAAGCAUGGGGAGCGAACAGGAUUAGAUACCCUGGUAGUCCAUGCCGUAAACGUUGGGCGCUAGGUGUGGGGACUUUCCACGGUUUCCGCGCCGUAGCUAACGCAUUAAGCGCCCCGCCUGGGGAGUACG
Molecule: ribosomal RNA, 609 nt
Filed under: Nocardiopsis sp.
Lineage: Bacteria; Bacillati; Actinomycetota; Actinomycetes; Streptosporangiales; Nocardiopsidaceae
Description: bacterial SSU rRNA
Rfam family: Bacterial small subunit ribosomal RNA
Source: RNAcentral